CCUACGGGAGGCAGCAGUGGGGAAUUUUGCGCAAUGGGGGCAACCCUGACGCAGCAACGCCGCGUGAGUGAUGAAGGCCUUCGGGUCGUAAAGCUCUGUCAGAGGGGAAGAAAUGCAGGUGGUGAACAACCAUUCUGUUUGACGGUACCCUCAAAGGAAGCACCGGCUAACUCCGUGCCAGCAGCCGCGGUAAUACGGAGGGUGCGAGCGUUGUUCGGAAUUAUUGGGCGUAAAGCGCGUGUAGGCGGUUUGUUAAGUCUGAGGGGAAAGCCCCGGGCUCAACCUGGGAAGUGCAUUGGAUACUGGCAGGCUGGAGUACGGGAGAGGAGAGUGGAAUUCCCGGUGUAGGAGUGAAAGCCGUAGAUAGUGGGAGGAACACCGUGGGCGAAGGCGGCUCUCGGGACUGAUACUGACGCUGAAGCGCGAAAGCGUGG
This 434-nucleotide ribosomal RNA is filed under the name uncultured Geobacteraceae bacterium. Its description in RNAcentral is "partial 16S ribosomal RNA". It matches the Rfam family "Bacterial small subunit ribosomal RNA", at positions 338 to 764 of the family's 1533-position model. Lineage: Bacteria; Pseudomonadati; Thermodesulfobacteriota; Desulfuromonadia; Geobacterales; Geobacteraceae. The record is from RNAcentral.